RNAcentral lists this ribosomal RNA (473 nucleotides) under uncultured bacterium. RNAcentral describes it as "SSU rRNA". It matches the Rfam family "Bacterial small subunit ribosomal RNA", at positions 26 to 518 of the family's 1533-position model. The record is from RNAcentral.
AGGACGAACGCUGGCGGCGUGCUUAACACAUGCAAGUCGAGCGGAAAGGCCCUUCGGGGUACUCGAGCGGCGAACGGGUGAGUAACACGUGAGUAAUCUGCCCCUAGCUCUGGGAUAGCUCCGGGAAACCGGGAUUAAUACCGGAUACGACCACCUUAGACAUCUUUUGUGGUGGAAAGAAUUUCGGCUAGGGAUGAGCUCGCGGCCUAUCAGCUUGUUGGUGGGGUAACGCCUACCAAGGCGACGACGGGUAGCCGGCCUGAGAGGGCGACCGGCCACACUGGGACUGAGACACGGCCCAGACUCCUACGGGAGGCAGCAGUGGGGAAUAUUGCGCAAUGGGCGAAAGCCUGACGCAGCGACGCCGCGUGGGGGAUGAAGGCCUUCGGGUUGUAAACCGCUUUCACCAGGGGCGAAGCGAGAGUGACGGUACCUGGGGAAGAAGCGCCGGCUAACUACGUGCCAGCAGCCGC